UCGCAUCGUUCACUUCAAAGAUCCUGCUCUAAGAGCCGUUUUGUUCGCGACCGACACAUCACAACUCGCCAGUCCAUAAGUCUCCUCCCAGUGUGACCAGCGUUCGGUGUGGAAGCCUGUAGCCUGCCUGUCCUCCUGCCUGAUUGCCUCCCUCCCCACGAUUCCCUUCACGGACUCCUCUCCCCUCCAAGCUCCACGGUCCUGCUCUACCUUUUCCCCACGGUCCCGACUACGGCGCUCCUGGGCUCCACGCUCCUCGUUCCCCCCCCACGGCAUGAGCCUUAGUUUUUUGUUCCCUUAGCUUGGUUAAAAGAUUCCUCAGUUAAAUAAUAAACUUGUACGUAGUUCUGA
This is a long non-coding RNA of Oreochromis aureus, 351 nucleotides long. RefSeq lists it as uncharacterized. The transcript has 2 exons. NCBI's taxonomy places the organism in Eukaryota, Metazoa, Chordata, Actinopteri, Cichliformes, Cichlidae. The record is from RefSeq and is a predicted model, not a curated record.